RNAcentral lists this ribosomal RNA (415 nucleotides) under uncultured crenarchaeote. RNAcentral's name for it is "partial 16S ribosomal RNA". It matches the Rfam family "Archaeal small subunit ribosomal RNA", at positions 330 to 747 of the family's 1478-position model. The record is from RNAcentral. Lineage: Archaea; Thermoproteati; Thermoproteota.
GCGCAGCAGGCGCGAAACCUCCGCAAUGCGCGAAAGCGCGACGGGGUUACCUCGAGUGCUACCUGCUGAAGGUGGCUUUUGCCUAGUUUAAGGAGCUAGGAGAAUAAGGGGAGGGCAAGUCUGGUGUCAGCCGCCGCGGUAAUACCAGCUUCCCGAGUGAUGGGGACGAUUAUUGAGCCUAAAGCAUCCGUAGCCGGCUCAGCGUGUCCUCAGUUAAAUCUGACGAUUCAAUCGUCGGGCUGCUGAGGAUACUACUAGGCUAGGGGGCGGGAGAGGUUGGCGGUAUUCCUGGGGUAGUGGUGAAAUACUUUAAUCCUAGGAGGACCACCGGUGGCGAAGGCGGCCAACUAGAACGCGCCCGACGGUGAGGGAUGAAAGCUGGGGGAGCGAAGGGGAUUAGAUACCCCCGUAGUCC